AGCUGGACGCAUGCUGCCUAACACAUGCAAGUCGAGCGGACAGAAGGGAGCUUGCUCCCGGAUGUUAGCGGCGGACGGGUGAGUAACACGUGGGUAACCUGCCUGUAAGACUGGGAUAACUCCGGGAAACCGGAGCUAAUACCGGAUAGUUCCUUGAACCGCAUGGUUCAAGGAUGAAAGACGGUUUCGGCUGUCACUUACAGAUGGACCCGCGGCGCAUUAGCUAGUUGGUGGGGUAAUGGCUCACCAAGGCGACGAUGCGUAGCCGACCUGAGAGGGUGAUCGGCCACACUGGGACUGAGACACGGCCCAGACUCCUACGGGAGGCAGCAGUAGGGAAUCUUCCGCAAUGGACGAAAGUCUGACGAAGCAACGCCGCGUGAGUGAUGAAGG
Molecule: ribosomal RNA, 393 nt
Filed under: Bacillus aerophilus
Lineage: Bacteria; Bacillati; Bacillota; Bacilli; Caryophanales; Bacillaceae
Description: bacterial SSU rRNA
Rfam family: Bacterial small subunit ribosomal RNA
Source: RNAcentral